RNAcentral lists this ribosomal RNA (267 nucleotides) under uncultured bacterium. RNAcentral describes it as "partial 16S ribosomal RNA". It matches the Rfam family "Bacterial small subunit ribosomal RNA", at positions 90 to 353 of the family's 1533-position model. The record is from RNAcentral.
CCGGACCGGCGCACGGGUGAGUAACACGUAUGGAACCUGCCCUAUGCAGGGGGAUAAGCGGAAGAAAUUCCGUCUAAUACCGCAUAACACCUUUAGGAGACAUCUUCUUGGGGUCAAAGGAGGCGACUCCGGCAUAGGAUGGCCAUGCGUCGCAUUAGCUAGUCGGCGGGGUAACGGCCCACCGAGGCGACGAUGCGUAGGGGUUCUGAGAGGAAGGUCCCCCACACUGGUACUGAGACACGGACCAGACUCCUACGGAAGGCAGCA